AUUGAACGCUGGCGGCAGGCCUAACACAUGCAAGUCGAGCGAGCGGCGGACGGGUGAGUAAUGUCUGGGAAACUGCCUGAUGGAGGGGGAUAACUACUGGAAACGGUAGCUAAUUCCGCAUACCAUACGACGUGCCCAGAUGGGAUUAGCUAGUAGGUGGGGUAACGGCUCACCCAGGCGACGAUCCCGAUCUGGUCUGACAGGAUGACCAGCCACACUGGCAUUGAGAAACGGUCCAAACUCCAACGGGAGGCAGCUGUGGGGAAUAUUGCACAAUGGGCGCAAGCCUGAUGCAGCCAUGCCGGGUGUGUGAAGAAGGCCUUCGGGAUGUAAAGCACUAUCAUCGAGGGGGCAGUACCCGCAGAAGAAGCACCGGCUAACUCCGUGCCAGCAGCCGCGGUAAUAC
This 406-nucleotide ribosomal RNA is filed under the name uncultured bacterium. Its description in RNAcentral is "partial 16S ribosomal RNA". It matches the Rfam family "Bacterial small subunit ribosomal RNA", at positions 30 to 526 of the family's 1533-position model. The record is from RNAcentral.